GAUGAACGCUAGCUACAGGCUUAACACAUGCAAGUCGAGGGGCAUCAGGAUGUAGCAAUACAUUGCUGGCGACCGGCGCACGGGUGAGUAACACGUAUCCAACCUGCCUUUUACUCGGGGAUAGGCUUUCGAAAGAAAGAUUAAUACCCGAUGGUAUAAUAUUUCCGCAUGGGAUUAUUAUUAAAGAAUUUCGGUAAAAGAUGGGGAUGCGUUCCAUUAGGCAGUUGGCGGGGUAACGGCCCACCAAACCUUCGAUGGAUAGGGGUUCUGAGAGGAAGGUCCCCCACAUUGGAACUGAGACACGGUCCAAACUCCUACGGGAGGCAGCAGUGAGGAAUAUUGGUCAAUGGGCGGAAGCCUGAACCAGCCAAGUAGCGUGAAGGAUGACUGCCCUAUGGGUUGUAAACUUCUUUUAUAGGGGAAUAAAGUGAGCCACGUGUGGCUUUUUGUAUGUACCCUAUGAAUAAGGAUCGGCUAACUCCGUGCCAGCAGCCGCGGUAAUACGGAGGAUCCGAGCGUUAUCCGGAUUUAUUGGGUUUAAAGGGAGCGUAGGUGGACAUGUAAGUCAGUUGUGAAAGUUUGCGGCUCAACCGUAAAAUUGCAGUUGAUACUGUGUGUCUUGAGUACAGUAGAGGUGGGCGGAAUUCGUGGUGUAGCGGUGAAAUGCUUAGAUAUCACGAAGAACUCCGAUUGCGAAGGCAGCUCACUGGACUGUUACUGACACUGAGGCUCGAAAGUGUGGGUAUCAAACAGG
This 754-nucleotide ribosomal RNA is filed under the name uncultured bacterium. RNAcentral's name for it is "bacterial SSU rRNA". It matches the Rfam family "Bacterial small subunit ribosomal RNA", at positions 28 to 776 of the family's 1533-position model. The record is from RNAcentral.